AACGAACGCUGGCGGCAUGCCUAACACAUGCAAGUCGGACGAAGCCUUCGGGCUUAGUGGCGCACGGGUGCGUAACGCGUGGGAAUCUGCCCGUUGGUUCGGAAUAACAGUUGGAAACGACUGCUAAUACCGGAUGAUGACGAAAGUCCAAAGAUUUAUCGCCAGAGGAUGAGCCCGCGUAGGAUUAGCUAGUUGGUGUGGUAAAGGCGCACCAAGGCGACGAUCCUUAGCUGGUCUGAGAGGAUGAUCAGCCACACUGGGACUGAGACACGGCCCAGACUCCUACGGGAGGCAGCAGUGGGGAAUAUUGGACAAUGGGCGAAAGCCUGAUCCAGCAAUGCCGCGUGAGUGAUGAAGGCCCUAGGGUUGUAAAGCUCUUUUACCCGGGAUGAUAAUGACAGUACCGGGAGAAUAAGCCCCGGCUAACUCCGUGCCAGCCGCCGCCGUAA
This 449-nucleotide ribosomal RNA is filed under the name uncultured bacterium. RNAcentral's name for it is "partial 16S ribosomal RNA". It matches the Rfam family "Bacterial small subunit ribosomal RNA", at positions 29 to 523 of the family's 1533-position model. The record is from RNAcentral.